AUACGUAGGGAGCGAGCGUUGUCCGGAAUGAUUGGGCGUAAAGGGCGCGUAGGCGGCCCGGUAAGUCUGGAGUGAAAGUCCUGUUUUUAAGAUGGGAAUUGCUUUGGAUACUGUCGGGCUUGAGUGCAGGAGAGGUAAGUGGAAUUCCCAGUGUAGCGGUGAAAUGCGUAGAGAUUGGGAGGAACACCAGUGGCGAAGGCGACUUACUGGACUGUAACUGACGCUGAGGCGCGAAAGUGUGGGGAGCAAACAGGAUUAGAUACCCUGGUAGUCCACACUGUAAACGAUGAUUGCUAGGUGUGGGGGGUCUGACCCCUUCCGUGCCGCAGUUAACGCAAUAAGCAAUCCACCUGGGGAGUACGGCCGCAAGGCUAAAACUCAAAGGAAUUGACGGGG
This 396-nucleotide ribosomal RNA is filed under the name uncultured bacterium. RNAcentral describes it as "partial 16S ribosomal RNA". It matches the Rfam family "Bacterial small subunit ribosomal RNA", at positions 523 to 918 of the family's 1533-position model. The record is from RNAcentral.